ACGUGACACCUCAACUGCAGUGCCUGCGGACAUAAGGGCUUUAAUAGAAUACCGCUGCUCCAGCCAAGGCCCGCGGUCGACGACGCCAUCAUGUGAACGUUUAUAGCCUAUUAUUACGUAUUAAAAAAAUUAUAAAGAACAAGAUCUCGGCUGUCAGGAAUUUUUUGUUUUUAUUUAAAAGGCAUAACAAUCUCCCCUAAUAAGUGCAGCAUAUUUUUAAAUGUAUCAUAGUUUGAUAAACAGCUUAGAGUUGCUCUUGACUAAAUUUGAACGAAACUAAAAGCUCGUGUCAAAAUGUAGCGACAGAGCCUAAAGAAAAAAUAUUUAUUAAGCGUUAGCGACGGGCACUUUUGAUAAAUAUCUAUCUUAAAAUUAUGUAGAGUGCACCUGUGACCACCGAUCACCACAAAAGUACGAUUUCGAUAGGAUAUAAUAAUUUUCAUGUCGCGUGGAGGGGUUGCCAGAUGUCGCUUUCUGAACGAAACUUACUGGACAGUGUGUCACUACUCUCUAUAGCCGACUGUACAUUCCAUACUUAACCUUCUGGCAUAUUACAAGAAAACACUAGGAGAGGAUGGGCUAGAUUCAAGAUAAACCAGUACAAUCUGACUGAACUUUGUCUAAAACUCGAAAUGGAAGAAGACUCACUUACGGGUUUGAAAAUAGCGAAACCGACACUCGACACACCAAAGCGACACACCGACUCCAGCCGCCGCUCGGGAAGGACGUGUAGUUGGCGCCUCUUGUAGAAUGCAGAGAGGCAGCAUUAUUUUUUUCCUGUGUCUGGACGUGUGCUGGGAUGUUUUCUGUCUUCCGCAAAGCAAAACUGAUGGGAGGAGUGCAGGCAAGGCUUUGACAACCCAUAUUGUUUACGAAGGAGGAACAGCCAAGCAGGCUAAACACUUGAGCCACCUGAGAGAUGAACAGAGAAGAAUACAUCCUGUGACCAAAGUCAACAACUCAAAUUAUUCAAUGCCACUAUAAAUGUAUUUCUAAUGCCUCCCAACAAAUUUCUGCAAAUUGCUUUGCCAUGAAACUCAGUGACGAUGGAAGUUGACCAUGAAAGGAUGGGGCAUAAUUAUGCAAGGACAUGAAGAACAACAGCUGUGCAGCAGGCUUUUAGUCAUAUAAAUUGGUAAGUCAGUCCAGAUGAUUUAUUCUUUUUAUCAGAUUCAUACAAUUGCAUUGGUUUACUGCAUCACAUAAGGCAACAGAUUAAGGGGUAAUUUUUCAGCCCAUAGACAUCUGAAAGUUAUUUUCUUUGUACCCUUUUAAAAUCAGGUGAGUGUAGUCCUGUCAGUCAAGAGUAAUAGUGUAGAAUACAUGGCUCCUGAAUUCCAUUUUGAAAAUAGAUGAAUUAAACAGUAAUCAUCUAGUAUAGUAGACCCUUGCUUUAACAAACCAAUUGGGGGAAGGGGGUGAUGAUGUAUCCUAAAUUCCAUUAUAUUGGAGAGAUCAGAACUUUUCACAUAAUAUAAUGAACUUUCUUUGUGUAUGAGCUAAAAGUUCCCUCUCCGACCAUUUCUGUAUAUAACAAAGUUUGUUCCCUAGACAAAUAGUACUCGAGUUACGAUGGGGUUUGGUUCUGUUAGGCAGGUCAUAAGAUGAAUUGGUCGAAAGUCAAAAUUUACAUCAAAUACAGUAUAAAACUAUUUUCAAAUGUCCUAACCUCCCCCUACCCCACAUCUGUUCUUGUGCACCCACCUCACCCCAGCCCUGUAUUCAGUUGACCCAUUAACCACACAACGAUGUGCAAUGUUAUGCAAUGGAGCCAUUAAGUUUUGCCAGGUCAGCGCAUGAGGACAGCAGUGGCGUAGAGAGGAGCUGGGAGAGUAGGAGGCACAGGAACGCUGUCUAAACAAACAGCUACUCUACCCGCAGUGGGAUAUUUGAAAUGUCAACUCAUUACUUUACGAAGUAUUCCUAAUAUCAACAGCUUAGUCAUAAAUGUGAGCAGUCGGAAGUUGCAUAUUCUGUAACUAGAGUACUACCUGUAUUAUGUGAAUGGUGGGCCACAAAAGGAAGAGAGGGGAAGUGUUUACAGUCAGGCUGACAAAGCUGGACUGACCAGACAUGCACCACCGGGUCAGAUUUGUCUCCACCAUUACUGACUGAUGAUAUGCGCGUACGUGUUCUGCCAGCCCACCACUGAACUGAACCCCGCACUUACCAAACUUGGGGCCAGAUUCAUUGAACCACUUAUGAGACCUCUUGUUAAAUAUGCUGGCAACUCUGUCCACUACGAACACUCCUUGUGUUUAGGCAGCUCUUAUGGCAAUGAAUGAAGUGACAGGCUGAUCAUUACUUCAGUCAUUGUCAUUGAAGCUUCCUAAAUACAAGGAGUGUUCGUAGUAGACAGAGUUACCAGAAGAUUUACCAGCAAGAGGUCUCGUAAAUAGUUUGAUGAAUCCGUCCCUUGUUUGGUAAAUUCCCACAUAUACCGCAGUGGUUCAAAAUGUUUGGCAAAGCUGGAAUUCAUUAUCUUGAGGUCCAUGAAAUCAAGAGCUUACUGUAAAAAAGAAAUGUGUAAUCAAUUAAUUUCAAUGAUUUACAGCCAUGUACCAGUUAGCUGAUCAAAAACACCGUCACUUUUUUUAUAUACUUUUUUAUUUAUUAUUCAGACCUGUAGGGUCUAGAUGGUAAUUUUGUAGGAUAAAUUUGAAGGCCUUUCAAUAAUCAUCAGCUCUCUUUGGUGAAACCCUCCAGAAGGAAACUUUAAAUGUAUCGAUAUCAAAUUUCCCUGAGGUAAAGUGAGGAAGUUAUAGACAUUGCAUGAUGACCUGCAAUAACAUAUCAUAAAGUAUUAGAAAUUUGCAUAUAAAGAAGAUAAUCAGACCCUUUUCUGCUUCGGUGGCAGGAUACAAAUUUUAAUCACCUAGAAUUAUAGCAAAAUAUUCAUUAAAUACUUUUGUGUCACUUAGUGUCAUGAGCCAGAGCUUUUGCAAUAUGAACAAGGGAUUAGCUAAAUGGUCAGAUAAGGGAUUACACAAGGAAUUAUUGAUCAUAAUUGAAUGUUUGAAAAAAAUGGCCAUACAUGAAGAGUAAUCAAACAUGGUCAUAGAUGAUUCAUUUUCCUUCCAUGUCAGCAUGAAAUUCCUUGGGAGCUGCAAAAUGUCUUAUUUAUCCUCUGAAUCAAAUAAGGCUAAUGCUACUUUUAUCACAACCUUCAUUAUCAGAUUCCAUUUUCAUAGUUUCAGUAGUUUCAUCAUGAUUAUUAUCCAGUUGUUCUUCAUUGAUGUUGAGUCGGUCUGUAGUAUCUGUAAUGAGGUCAUCUCCAGCAUCAACUUUGAGUUCUAAUCCCAAAAAUUUUAUGUGGUUGUACCAGCGAAGGACAUGAUUGUAAGAGUCCUGAGGGGCCUCACUAAGUGCAGUGAAUACUUGGAUAUCCACCUCAGAAGGGGUGUGGCCCUGGAGGUAGCUGCAAUUCUCCAAGUGCUGGUUCAGCUUCUCAAGGCCAUGUGCUGUGUUCACAUCUUCAAAAAAUUCCAUUGAUCUGAAAGAUUAAUUGUCAGCUGAAGAUAGCUUCAACAGUGGCUUGGCAACCAUCCCACACUCUGCCUCCUCAUGGAUCCAUAACCCUUCAUGGUGUCACCCCCACCAAAGUAAGUUUUACCAACUUUUUUUGCCAUUGUCUGAUGAUAGGGACUGGUAGCCUGAGAAGGCAAUGUUCUGUCUAUUGGAGACUCAAAUUCUACAUGGCAGCAUGCCAUUGUGACAAAGUCAAUACACUAAAGUUAUCCUCUUGUUAUCCAUCUAUAUGAGUCCCAAAGGCCCCUUUCAGAUCAAUCAACCUUUCCUGGUCCACCAUAGGUGGUAUAAGGUCAUGCAUUCCAGGGGCCUUAUACAUCAUAGUACUUAAGAGUACUCUGAUAUUCUCUAAGACUUGCCUACAUCACUGAUUUGACAGCAAGCCUCUCUUCCUUCUCAAAUGUUCCUCAUGCUUCCAUACUUUCAAGCUCUGGCUCUUCUGUCCCUCACCUUUAUCACAUCUCCCAUACAUCACUGUCUUUUUCCUUGACGUUACCAUUUACCUCUAUCUUACCACACCAUAUGACCUCUGAUGUCAGGCGCAUAGUAUUUUCCAUAAACUAAUACAUGUGAGUAUCCUCCAGUGAAUGAUCCCAGCAUACAAAUUCAAACAAUUGAUAUAAAAGUCUUUGUGAGGCUGCCACUAUUUUUCUUAAGGAGCAGGUUGUUUAUGUUGUCCCCAAACUUACUACAACCCCAGAUUUUAGGACAUCCCAACUAAGAGCACUGAAACUGAUGUAGGACAUUAUAAUAGUGUUCUUCUCCCUGUUCAAUGGUGAAACUGACAGCCUUUCUCUUAGUAAAGUUAAUGUAAAUGCACAAGUUAUGUGAGAGAACACAGACCACAUCUCUUUAGUCUCCAUACAUGAAGAAAACAACUUAAUUUUAC
Long non-coding RNA from Eriocheir sinensis (Chinese mitten crab), 4417 nucleotides. RefSeq lists it as uncharacterized. The transcript has 3 exons. The record is from RefSeq and is a predicted model, not a curated record. Lineage: Eukaryota; Metazoa; Arthropoda; Malacostraca; Decapoda; Varunidae.